RNAcentral lists this transfer RNA (72 nucleotides) under Camelus bactrianus (Bactrian camel). It matches the Rfam family "tRNA". From Rfam's summary of the family: Transfer RNA (tRNA) molecules are approximately 80 nucleotides in length. Lineage: Eukaryota; Metazoa; Chordata; Mammalia; Artiodactyla; Camelidae. The record is from Rfam by way of RNAcentral. RNAcentral also lists the same sequence under 1 other name.
GAGGGUGUAGCUCAGUGGUAGAGCGAAUGCUUAGCAUGCAGGAGGUCCUGGGUUCAAUCCCCUGUACCAUAA